CGAUACACUGUUCUCAUCAGCACAUUAAACCCCCCCCCCACCAAAAAAAAUUAGACACCCAGACCUUCAUCCACCAUCACAAAUGCAAAAGCUCCGUAGGUCGUUCAAGAGGUUUUGAUUGAGACGAAAGAAUCGGGCCAGCGUCUGAGCAGGUGAAGCUACAGAGUUGGCAGCGCUGACUCGGAAACAUUCCGGGUUCAUACUUUGAAGGUAAUAUUUUCUUGUUGUUUUUCUUCGGAUAUCGCUGACGGUCCACAAGCAACAGAACUGGAUUCGCGGCCUGCAAAAAGUAAGAGGCUCCAAGCAUGGGUGACGAGAACCUUGUCACGAGAAUCGUCAGAUGAACGUGUUCUCUCUUCAGAUCUCCAUUCGGCUUCUUUGACUACUAGCAAAUUAGCAAAUCGCCAUCUCAUUUCUUAACUGAUCUCAAGUGCCAUCACUUUUCCAGACUAAUUUUGGGGGAGACACAGACUUCAGGACGGGAACUGGACCGGAGCGGAGCCAAGGGAAAUGAAAAAAGAAAGAGAGAGAGAGAAAGACAGAGACAGAGAGUGAGAGAAAUGAGAGAGAGCGAUCACAUACCCAAUUUGGAGAAAACAUCACUAAAAUGAAUUCCAUUUUCCCUGUUGGUUUUUAAUUUUCCAUCCCUGUGCUGACUCAAGUGUUCAACCUUUUCUUCCUCCAUCCCUACUUCCCUCCCGCUUUUAGAAAAUCCUUCUGGUUGUUGACAGUCCAAGGUUUUCAAGCUGCUGACCUAAAUCUUUCUUCCAGGCCAUUCUCACUAAGAGACCCAAGCCAGAAAACAGGUUCUGCUUAUUGUGACACCGAUGCCCUUGAAACAGACUUCUUGCACAAGCCUCCAUGUUAUUUUUGCCAAGUUGACCGAUGAAUCCUGGGCUGGAUGCCUCUCCGGGCUGAUCUAGAGACAGAGUGAGACGCAGUAUGACCUACUGGAGCGAGCCCAAGCCUGGGACCUGGGAGCUGAGAUCAGACGGGGACACUGAUCCGUGGAUACGAGAAGCGGCGUGGCUCAGUGGAAAGAGCCCGGGCUUGGGAGUCA
This is a long non-coding RNA of Ornithorhynchus anatinus (platypus), 1060 nucleotides long. RefSeq lists it as uncharacterized. The record is from RefSeq and is a predicted model, not a curated record. The transcript is spliced from 3 exons. NCBI's taxonomy places the organism in Eukaryota, Metazoa, Chordata, Mammalia, Monotremata, Ornithorhynchidae.